This is a non-coding RNA of Paramuricea clavata, 433 nucleotides long. The record is from the annotation of a GenBank genome assembly. Lineage: Eukaryota; Metazoa; Cnidaria; Anthozoa; Malacalcyonacea; Plexauridae.
GUUAAUUCUUGAAGAAUGAGUUCGACCAAGCUUAAGAAAGUAACAAACAAAAAUGUUGACCGUUUUACUCUGGAAGGACUAGAAAAAAAAGCGAAGGUUGUAUCAAUUUAUGAUGGAGACACUUGCGACUUAGCGUUCUAUCGCAAAGGAGAGCUGGUGAGGUUCAGAUGACGUUUAGAGGACGUCUACGCACCGGAGCUUCGCGAAGAAAAUGGAAAGCUUGUGCGUGACUUCUUGGCCCAUUUGUGUAUGGGAGAAGACCCUGAUGAAUUUGACUAUGAUACCACAAUAUGGGAUAGAAAGGAUCUCCAAGAUGAGUUGAACAAAAACAAGUAUUUGGUACUGUAUGCUGUGUUUGGCAAAUUCGACAAAUAUGGCAGGGCUUUGGUUAUACUCUUAAGACCUCUCGAGCUCCUAGAGCCGAAUCAAUCAA